UGGGGAAUUUUGGACAAUGGGCGAAAGCCUGAUCCAGCAAUGCCGCGUGUGUGAAGAAGGCCUUCGGGUUGUAAAGCACUUUUGUCCGGAAAGAAAUCCUUGGCUCUAAUACAGUCGGGGGAUGACGGUACCGGAAGAAUAAGCACCGGCUAACUACGUGCCAGCAGCCGCGGUAAUACGUAGGGUGCAAGCGUUAAUCGGAAUUACUGGGCGUAAAGCGUGCGCAGGCGGUUUGCUAAGACCGAUGUGAAAUCCCCGGGCUCAACCUGGGAACUGCAUUGGUGACUGGCAGGCUAGAGUAUGGCAGAGGGGGGUAGAAUUCCACGUGUAGCAGUGAAAUGCGUAGAGAUGUGGAGGAAUACCGAUGGCGAAGGCAGCCCCCUGGGCCAAUACUGACGCUCAUGCACGAAAGCGUGGGGAGCAAACAGGAUUAGAUACCCUGGUAGUCCACGCCCUAAACGAUGUCAACUAGUUGUUGGGGGAUUUCAUUUCCUUAGUAACGUAGCUAACGCGUGAAGUUGACCGCCUGGGGAGUACGGUCGCAAGAUUAAAACUCAAAGGAAUUGACGGGGUCGUA
This 577-nucleotide ribosomal RNA is filed under the name uncultured bacterium. RNAcentral describes it as "partial 16S ribosomal RNA". It matches the Rfam family "Bacterial small subunit ribosomal RNA", at positions 355 to 923 of the family's 1533-position model. The record is from RNAcentral.